GGUUGCCCUCACAAUGUUGUUGGCUGUGACAUCUGUCACCCCCUUGAUCACCAGGGUUGACUUGGCUGAUCUAGCUGACUAGGUGUAUCCCCUUUCUUCUGUCACGGAUCCACGUGCAUUCUCUCUAAAGCUGCAUGCUUGGGGGAAGAGGACAACCACUUAGUGUGCCAUUCGUAUGUCAUUGGUGCUCCCUUGCUAAAAGCUCCAAACCAGCUCAAGGUCCACGCUUAGACAGGAAAAAAGAAGACUUGGGGUGAAGUGGACUCACUGUCACAGCUGCCCAAACAGGCAGCCAGGAGU
Molecule: small nuclear RNA, 300 nt
Filed under: Salvator merianae (Argentine black and white tegu)
Lineage: Eukaryota; Metazoa; Chordata; Lepidosauria; Squamata; Teiidae
Description: 7SK RNA (ENSSMRG00000011196.1)
Rfam family: 7SK RNA
About the family: 7SK was discovered as an abundant small nuclear RNA in the mid-70s but a possible function has only recently been suggested. Two independent studies have found that 7SK RNA binds the CDK9/cyclin T complex (known as elongation factor P-TEFb). P-TEFb activates transcription by phosphorylating the C-terminal domain of RNA polymerase II.
Source: RNAcentral